This 132-nucleotide non-coding RNA is filed under the name human gut metagenome. RNAcentral describes it as "glmS glucosamine-6-phosphate activated ribozyme". It matches the Rfam family "glmS glucosamine-6-phosphate activated ribozyme aptamer", at positions 7 to 156 of the family's 167-position model. Rfam says of the family: This entry contains a glucosamine-6-phosphate activated ribozyme that is found in the mRNA for GlmS. GlmS is an enzyme that uses fructose-6-phosphate and glutamine to generate glucosamine-6-phosphate. The ribozyme catalyses self cleavage of the glmS mRNA that is thought to regulate GlmS activity. The record is from RNAcentral.
UUUUUAGCGCAUGGACAAAGAAAUUUGUUGACGAGGAUAGAACUUAUCGAAUAAUCAGCGGAUGGUUCUACGGCAUAUUACUGUCGUUAAUUACUGGCAAAAACGUGUGGCAACACAUGAACAAAUACAGUA